GCCUACACAUGCAGUCGAGCGGUAGCACAGAGAGCUUGCUCUCGGGUGACGAGCGGCGGACGGGUGAGUAAUGUCUGGGAAACUGCCUGAUGGAGGGGGAUAACUACUGGAAACGGUAGCUAAUACCGCAUAACGUCGCAAGACCAAAGUGGGGGACCUUCGGGCCUCAUGCCAUCAGAUGUGCCCAGAUGGGAUUAGCUAGUAGGUGGGGUAACGGCUCACCUAGGCGACGAUCCCUAGCUGGUCUGAGAGGAUGACCAGCCACACUGGAACUGAGACACGGUCCAGACUCCUACGGGAGGCAGCAGUGGGGAAUAUUGCACAAUGGGCGCAAGCCUGAUGCAGCCAUGCCGCGUGUGUGAAGAAGGCCUUCGGGUUGUAAAGCACUUUCAGCGGGGAGGAAGGCGUUAAGGUUAAUAACCUUGGCGAUUGACGUUACCCGCAGAAGAAGCACCGGCUAACUCCGUGCCAGCAGCCGCGGUAAUACGGAGGGUGCAAGCGUUAAUCGGAAUUACUGGGCGUAAAGCGCACGCAGGCGGUCUGUCAAGUCGGAUGUGAAAUCCCCGGGCUCAACCUGGGAACUGCAUUCGAAACUGGCAGGCUAGAGUCUUGUAGAGGGGGGUAGAAUUCCAGGUGUAGCGGUGAAAUGCGUAGAGAUCUGGAGGAAUACCGGUGGCGAAGGCGGCCCCCUGGACAAAGACUGACGCUCAGGUGCGAAAGCGUGGGGAGCAAACAGGAUUAGAUACCCUGGUAGUCCACGCCGUAAACGAUGUCGAUUUGGAGGUUGUGCCCUUGAGGCGUGGCUUCCGGAGCUAACGCGUUAAAUCGACCGCCUGGGGAGUACGGCCGCAAGGUUAAAACUCAAAUGAAUUGACGGGGGCCCGCACAAGCGGUGGAGCAUGUGGUUUAAUUCGAUGCAACGCGAAGAACCUUACCUGGUCUUGACAUCCACAGAACUUUCCAGAGAUGGAUUGGUGCCUUCGGGAACUGUGAGACAGGUGCUGCAUGGCUGUCGUCAGCUCGUGUUGUGAAAUGUUGGGUUAAGUCCCGCAACGAGCGCAACCCUUAUCCUUUGUUGCCAGCGGUUCGGCCGGGAACUCAAAGGAGACUGCCAGUGAUAAACUGGAGGAAGGUGGGGAUGACGUCAAGUCAUCAUGGCCCUUACGACCAGGGCUACACACGUGCUACAAUGGCAUAUACAAAGAGAAGCGACCUCGCGAGAGCAAGCGGACCUCAUAAAGUAUGUCGUAGUCCGGAUUGGAGUCUGCAACUCGACUCCAUGAAGUCGGAAUCGCUAGUAAUCGUAGAUCAGAAUGCUACGGUGAAUACGUUCCCGGGCCUUGUACACACCGCCCGUCACACCAUGGGAGUGGGUUGCAAAAGAAGUAGGUAGCUUAACCUUCGGGAGGGCGCUACCACUUU
This 1422-nucleotide ribosomal RNA is filed under the name Klebsiella pneumoniae. RNAcentral describes it as "bacterial SSU rRNA". It matches the Rfam family "Bacterial small subunit ribosomal RNA". The record is from RNAcentral. Lineage: Bacteria; Pseudomonadati; Pseudomonadota; Gammaproteobacteria; Enterobacterales; Enterobacteriaceae.